This 26-nucleotide non-coding RNA is filed under the name Callithrix jacchus (white-tufted-ear marmoset). RNAcentral also lists the same sequence under 2 other names. The record is from RNAcentral. Lineage: Eukaryota; Metazoa; Chordata; Mammalia; Primates; Cebidae.
UGGAAGUGACUGGUCUGAUGUUGAGG